RNAcentral lists this ribosomal RNA (253 nucleotides) under uncultured bacterium. Its description in RNAcentral is "partial 16S ribosomal RNA". It matches the Rfam family "Bacterial small subunit ribosomal RNA", at positions 524 to 776 of the family's 1533-position model. The record is from RNAcentral.
GACAGAGGGUGCGAACGUUGUUCGGAAUUACUGGGCGUAAAGCGCGUGUAGGCGGCAGCGUAAGUCGGGCGUGAAAUCCCCGGGCUCAACCCGGGAACUGCGUCCGAUACUGGCAGGCUUGAAUUCGGGAGAGGGAUGCGGAAUUCCAGGUGUAGCGGUGAAAUGCGUAGAUAUCUGGAGGAACACCGGUGGCGAAGGCGGCAUCCUGGACCGAGAUUGACGCUGAGGCGCGAAAGCCAGGGGAGCAAACGGG